This 226-nucleotide ribosomal RNA is filed under the name uncultured bacterium. Its description in RNAcentral is "partial 16S ribosomal RNA". It matches the Rfam family "Bacterial small subunit ribosomal RNA", at positions 538 to 763 of the family's 1533-position model. The record is from RNAcentral.
GCGUUGUCCGGAAUUAUUGGGCGUAAAGAGCUCGUAGGCGGCCACUCAAGUCGGAUGUGAAAACUCGAGGCUUAACCUCGAGCCUGCAUUCGAUACUGGGUGGCUGGAGUCUGGUAGGGGGAUCUGGAACUCCUGGUGUAGCGGUGGAAUGCGCAGAUAUCAGGAAGAACACCGGUGGCGAAGGCGGGAUCCUGGGCCAGUACUGACGCUGAGGAGCGAAAGCGUG